Non-coding RNA from Cricetulus griseus (Chinese hamster), 2063 nucleotides. NCBI's taxonomy places the organism in Eukaryota, Metazoa, Chordata, Mammalia, Rodentia, Cricetidae. The record is from RefSeq and is a predicted model, not a curated record.
CACCCCGCUGCUGCCACAGCCACCGCAGCCGAGGAAGUUGACUGACGCCGCUUCCUUCCCCCCACCUUCAGACCCUCGCGCCCCCUUUAGCUGCAACUCCCCCGGGACUUUGAGGCAGCAAGGAUGCGGAGCUGAUCCCAAGCCUGGCUUUCUUUUCUCCCACCGCCCUGGGGUGAACGUUCAUGGUAGCUCAAGAAAUCACGUGGUGCACCCCAGGAAGGCCCCGAAGACACGCUCUCACAACCCCCGUGUAAGACUCAUACAUCUGCUGUGAUUGCAUUACACAGGUCACUCGGCUAUGCCAAGCAGACCCAUGUAUCCUCCAUCCAGUAAGUCCUGCCCACAGUGGCCGGAGUUGUUCUUCACCCACAAUGCACUCUGUAUUUAUCAUGAUUUUUUAAGAAUCCAUUUAGGAAACAGGACCAUCAGUUAACAAAUCGAACUGGCUUUGCUGCUGAAAAGCUGCCUGCAUUAUCAGGAAGAAGGGGGGCGGGAAGGUCAGAUCCGGGGAAGGUGGUCUGUAUCCGCUUUCCUCUAAGAGGUCCAUCUUUGCUACUGUUCCGAGAUAGCUCAACUGGUUUGUGGACUGUUGAGCUUGGACUCUUUUCCUUUAAACCCACCCAGUUCCAGCGAAGCAUCUAACAGUGUUUUGCCAUUCCCAACAUUUAAAAAUCUGUUAUUUGGUGAAUCUCCAGCAAAACAUGCAGAAGUAAAGCAAACCGUUUACACAGUGGGAUUGUUUCCAUUCCAUAAAUGAAGGUGUUUGGAUUCUGGGCUGUUAGGUGGCAGGUUGAAACAGAUUCAGACCCCGGAAGAGUGCAGCGACCUGUGUAAGUUUCACUGUUUUUCCCACUGGACAGAAGACCCAUAUGCAAAGGCAUGUGUGCAAAAGCUCCAGGGGGGCCCUCCCUGUGCAGGUCUGCUGCCUUCACGUCUGCCUCACCCCAGGGAUAGUCAGGCUGCUCUUGCAUCCUGGAAAGGCAAGGCCUUCCACAUUGGCAAACACUCAUUAUUUUAGCCAGAGAGCUCAGCUGUACAGCAAUGCUAAUAGGAAGGGAACCCCACACCCCAACACAAACAUACUUUCUGCCCAGAUCUAAUGUAGAAUCGAAAUGAAAAGUCCCCAAAUCUGAGGGUCUACCCACAGGCUCAGUUGAACGGAUGUGAGCUGUAGCAAGAUCAAAAAAAAAAAAAAAAGCCUGUGAUGUGCAUCCUUGUUCUUGCAGCACCCUCCACCCUUGGGAGAGCUACUUUAUCUCAAAUGUAAACUCUUAAACUGUGGGCUGCAAUCUUGUGCUAGGGAAUCGAAGGUAGGGCUGCAAAAAUCCUGACCACAAUGAAAGCUUUCUGAAUGUGCAACAGCCAAAAGGUAAUUCAAAAUCAAAUGUGUAAGGAAGCCGGGGUAUCUCUGAUGGCCUUAGCUUCUGGUGUGAGUCACUUCACAGUGGCCUCAGUUCUUUACAUACAACAUGUGCUCCUUGCACGGUUACAUGCCAUCACAACAUGCAGCCCCAACCAGUAUUGCCUGAAGUCCCUCUACUCAAAGAGUCUUACUAAGAAUUGCAGUGUUUUUACUGUUAUGCACAAGGUUUUCUGCUCUUACCAAACACUAUAGCUCCACAACCGAAAACAAAGACUUUCAGAUUUCUCUACUGUCAUUCCUCAGCAUGCUAGUGUCAAAUUAGCAUAUCUGUGGUUUCUAGGUGUGUUAGAGAGCUUAAUUUUAGCAACUGUUUCUUGCAUGGCUGACUUAAAUUUCACUUAAGGUCUGUUAAAUGAACUUCGGUUAAUGCAUAGGACAGAAUUUCCAACAAUUACUAAAAUGUCUUUAAACCUGCUUCUACCAAUUUGUGCUCUGUGUUCAUGGGAAGAACACAUUGAAGAUCAUAAAAUUACCCCAUAGAUCAUCCCUGAAAAAGACUGAAGAUGUUCUGUAUCACUGAGUCUCAGGUAUUGAGCCAGUUUCACUCACACUGUAUAAAGAAACAAACACACCCAUCUCAUUAGGAUACAAAUUUUCUUUUGUCUUUAAUAAAUGGUAAAAUCAUAUGUAUUCUAAAGAA